This 253-nucleotide ribosomal RNA is filed under the name uncultured bacterium. Its description in RNAcentral is "partial 16S ribosomal RNA". It matches the Rfam family "Bacterial small subunit ribosomal RNA", at positions 524 to 776 of the family's 1533-position model. The record is from RNAcentral.
UACGUAGGGUGCAAGCGUUAAUCGGAAUUACUGGGCGUAAAGCGUGCGCAGGCGGUUUGUUAAGACAGAUGUGAAAUCCCCGGGCUCAACCUGGGAACUGCAUUUGUGACUGCAUCGCUGGAGUGCGGCAGAGGGGGAUGGAAUUCCGCGUGUAGCAGUGAAAUGCGUAGAUAUGCGGAGGAACACCGAUGGCGAAGGCAAUCCCCUGGGCCUGCACUGACGCUCAUGCACGAAAGCGUGGGGAGCAAACAGG